RNAcentral lists this ribosomal RNA (269 nucleotides) under uncultured prokaryote. RNAcentral describes it as "partial 16S ribosomal RNA". It matches the Rfam family "Bacterial small subunit ribosomal RNA", at positions 524 to 792 of the family's 1533-position model. The record is from RNAcentral.
UACGUAGGUGACAAGCGUUAUCCGGAUUUACUGGGUGUAAAGGGCGUGUAGGCGGGCUUGCAAGUUGGAUGUGAAAUUCUCAGGCUUAACCUGAGAGGGUCAUCCAAAACUGCGAGUCUUGAGUACUGGAGAGGAUAGUGGAAUUCCUAGUGUAGCGGUAAAAUGCGUAGAUAUUAGGAGGAACACCAGUGGCGAAGGCGGCUAUCUGGACAGUAACUGACGCUGAGGCGCGAAAGCGUGGGGAGCAAACAGGAUUAGAUACCCCGGUA